GGGGCACUGACCAACCACCAAAGGGAGCAGAGGGCACACAGGGGCAGGGCAUCAGCAUGAGGGGAUAAAGGGCUGGGACAAAGAACAAGAAGGGAUGGCUCUUGAAGCUUUCUGAUGCGGUGUGGUGUUACUCUGUCUGGGCUGAAGCUUUCUGAAGUUGUAUGGUGAUAAUCUGUAUUGCAGCUGUCUCAACUGUGACAAGUGCUGCGACAAUGAGGAUUUAAUAUGUAUCUGAUUGUAGAAGUUUGGGGGUUUUUUGACCACAAAUGUGUUGUGCUUCUGUCUCUUUAUUAUAUUUUUUUCUUCCAGUGUGUAUUUGGCCCUGGAAUUCAAUGAGGUAUUGAUGACAGAUUAUCAAAAAUUGACUGGAGUUUCUCUGAAUCAAAUGCAGGAAUUUUAGAUAAUGAAUUGUUUACUGCUAAGAGAUAUUGAUCCUUCCACAUGAACUUGUAAUUCAGCAGCAGAUCAUUUGAGUAGGGAAGGAAAAUAGUAUGGAUUUGGUAAACUAGCAAAGCAGACACUAAGGUUGUAAAGAGGGGUGCAUUUUUUUAAGUGAUUUUAGAGAGGAGAGUGGAUUUUGCAAGCCCAGAUGUAAGAAAGCUUUUGGACUGACUUGUAACCCAAGUAUCCUAGUGUAGCUUGCCCAAUGGAAAAGAGAUUUAUUCACCUCCUGUUGAUUUUCCACCUGCUGUACUCCUUUUCUUUCAUUCUCACCCAGUAAAGUGGGUGCAUGUCUGAAAUCUCAGUGCCUGAGUGUUAUCUGAGCUCAUUGUCAGAGCAUUUACAGGGAACUUACAGAAAAUUUGAUCAAGAAGGAGUAGUAUUGUGAUGAAGAAUUUCACAAGAAUGUUUUUUCAAAGACUCAUUUCAGAAAGUUGUGCUUUAGUUUUCUAAGUAUUUUGCAGCUGAAUGCUUCAAGAGUGCAUCUGUAGGGGGAGAUUUCAGCUCAAGGCUGUAGUACCAAAUCUAGCAG
Passer domesticus (house sparrow) is the source of this 973-nucleotide long non-coding RNA. RefSeq lists it as uncharacterized. NCBI's taxonomy places the organism in Eukaryota, Metazoa, Chordata, Aves, Passeriformes, Passeridae. The record is from RefSeq and is a predicted model, not a curated record. The transcript is spliced from 3 exons.